Molecule: long non-coding RNA, 381 nt
Filed under: Medicago truncatula (barrel medic)
Lineage: Eukaryota; Viridiplantae; Streptophyta; Magnoliopsida; Fabales; Fabaceae
Description: long non-coding RNA (MTRU_LNC006736)
Source: RNAcentral
CUGACGGCGGCGGCGCUUACCGUCACCGGAACUCCAACUGCCUACGAAGCCUUACGAACCUACAACUUCCCACCGGGAAUUCUCCCAAUAGGAGUAACCAAUUACGAAUUAGACAAAUCAAGUGGAAAUUUCCGCGCUGAUCUAAAUCGUUCGUGCAGUUUUUCGUUACAAGGUUCGUAUCAAUUGAGUUACAAAUCAACGAUCACCGGUAAAAUAACGGAAAACAGACUUACCGAUCUCAGGGGUAUAAGUGUCAAAGUGAUGUUCUUCUGGGUGAAUAUUCUUGAAGUUGUUAGGAAAAGUGAUAAUCUUGAUUUCUCUGUUGGUGUUGCUUCUGCGGCUUUUCCUUUGGAUGAUUUCUUUGAAUCUCCGCAGUGUGGC